UAGGGAAUCUUCCACAAUGGGCGGAAAGACCUCGAUGGAGCAACGCCGCGUGUGUGAUGAAGGGUUUCGGCUCGUAAACACUGUUGUAAGAGAAGAAUGACAUUGAGAGUAACUGUUCAAUGUGUGACGGUAUCUUACCAGAAAGGAACGGCUAACUACGUGCCAC
This 166-nucleotide ribosomal RNA is filed under the name uncultured bacterium. Its description in RNAcentral is "partial 16S rRNA". It matches the Rfam family "Bacterial small subunit ribosomal RNA", at positions 355 to 511 of the family's 1533-position model. The record is from RNAcentral.